Molecule: long non-coding RNA, 1599 nt
Organism: Mauremys reevesii (Reeves's turtle)
Lineage: Eukaryota; Metazoa; Chordata; Testudines; Geoemydidae
Exons: 3
Source: RefSeq, a predicted model, not a curated record
CCGUGAUGUCAUUUCCGCUAGGGGCGGCUCUAUCGGAAUGACGUAUCUGCUGAAUAUUCAUGAGGCUCAUGAAUAAUUGACUGUCGGCGGAUUGACAGCGUUUCCCGCUGCCGAGCGACAGGGCGCGGCCCCAUGCGCUGCCCGGCGGGCUCGGUGCCGGGCUGGGGGAGCGGCCCGCGGAGCAGCCUGGGCCGGGCUGUGCGUCCCGCAGGAGGGAAGGGCCCUGAGGGAGCCCGUGAGCCAAGCACUGGUGCCAACGUGCCCCCGGUCACGGCCCUGCAGCUGCUCCCUGCCUGUGCCGGCAGCGCCGCCCCUAGGGCUGCGGGGACUCCUGCAGCGGUUCGGCUGAGCGCCUGGUCAUUCUGGCGUGACACCGCCCAAUAUACACCCUGAGCUGGGCCCAGGCCCUGUGUACGGGCCAGAGGGCUGGACUGAGGGACGGGGACUAUCCUCGCUCCCUGCGCCUCUUCCCUGCCUGCACUUGAUCCUCUUCUGUUGGUUGUCUGGGUACGCAGGGACCUUGGGGCCCGAGGGCUUCAUGUGCUGGACAGGGAAGAUGCUGCACGGAGCCAGCGUGGGGGCUAUAGCCAUAUCGCUGGGGGCCGCUAUGUCAUUGCACUCCAUAAUGUGUUAUAGAAAUAUGCACAUGACUGUAAAUAUGAUGUAACUGGAAUAUGCUUUAUGCAAAAGGUCUCUUGUAAGGUAUCAUUACAAAGCUUAUAAUCUACUAAGUGUGUUCCUCCUGUUUGUAUGCAUGUAUCAUUCUUGUAACUGAAGCUAGAAAUAUAAAGUAUAACGCUGAGGUUCUAUUGUAAUUAUGCAAAGCUUGGGCCAUUGAUGAUGGUUUAAAAUCUUGAUGGCUCCCAUUAACUAGGACAAUUGGUUGUAAAUGGCUCUGUUUACUUGCAAACCUUCCUGUGUUCCUGUAAGCCAGCCCAGGAAGAACGGUGGAAUCCAUCUUAAACUUGGUGCUCUUCCAUUUAGAAGGAGGGGUGGGGAUCCAGACAGACAAAAUAUGCCCACCUUAUGCCAGAGCUAUAAAAGGGGGUGGAAGAGAACAAAGGAGGAUCCCAGUCAUGGAAGAAAAAAACCCUGCUUUUCACCUAAGAUGCCUGCUGGAACUAACAAGGACUGUACAAGGGGAAAGGAUUGGGCCAGACUAGGAAGGAGUCUGUGAAAGAAGCUCAUUGGAACAUCUCUGAGGCAAACAAGCAGGACUUCAAGGGCUCCAACCCUUGUGGAAUGGUUGGAAGAACUUUGGAUUGCUAGAGCCCUAUCAGACUGCUGGUUAGUAACCUCUGUUCAACCCUGAAGGUGACAUUGCUCCCUCUGUGCCAGGACCCAGCAAGUGAGUUAGGAUCUUAGGGGCCCAAAUCUUAUCUUUGUGCAGAGGGGCUGGAGCAAGGUACUCCUGCCUACCCUCCUUACUAUGCUUCAGGCCAGACGCACAUCCCCAGCCCCUGCUAUACCAGACUGGGGACUCUCCACUCCCCUGCCAAGGAAGGGAUGAGAUUGAAAGUCAAUUGCAGGGGGAGGGCUGUCACAAGCUGAGCAGCUGGGUUGCCCUAUGAAAAUGCUUCGUUCCAGACAAAUUCAUUU